GACGAACGCUGGCGGCGUGCUUAACACAUGCAAGUCGAACGGAAAGGCCCUGCUUUUGUGGGGUGCUCGAGUGGCGAACGGGUGAGUAACACGUGAGUAACCUGCCCUUUACUUUGGGAUAACUUCAGGAAACUGGGGCUAAUACCUGAUAGGAGCUCCUGCUGCAUGGUGGGGGUUGGAAAGUUUCGGAGGUUGGGGAUGGACUCGCGGCUUAUCAGCUUGUUGGUGGGGUAGUGGCUUACCAAGGCUUUGACGGGUAGCCGGCCUGGUAGGGUGACCGGCCUCAUUGGGACUGAGAUACGGCCCAGACUCCUACGGGAGGCAGAAGUGGGGAAUAUUGCACAAUGGGCGGAAGCCUGAUGCAGCCACGCCGCGUGCGGGAUGACGGCCUUCGGGUUGUAAACCGCUUUCGCCUGUGACGAAGCGUGAGUGACGGUAAUGGGUAAAGAAGCACCGGCUAACUACGUG
This 468-nucleotide ribosomal RNA is filed under the name uncultured bacterium. Its description in RNAcentral is "partial 16S ribosomal RNA". It matches the Rfam family "Bacterial small subunit ribosomal RNA", at positions 28 to 507 of the family's 1533-position model. The record is from RNAcentral.